UGGGGAAUAUUGCACAAUGGAGGGAACUCUGAUGCAGCGACGCCGCGUGAGUGAUGAAGGAAUUCGUUUCGUAAAACUCUGUUCUAUGGGAAGAAAAGGACUGUACCAUAGGAGAAAGCUCCGGCUAAAUACGUGCCAGCAGCCGCGGUAAUACGUAUGGAGCGAGCGUUGUCCGGAAUUAUUGGGCGUAAAGGGUGCGCAGGCGGCUUUACAAGUUGGUUGUGAAAUAUUGUGGCUCAACCACAAACGUGCAUCCAAAACUGCAAAGCUUGAGUUAAGGAGAGGUGAGUGGAAUUCCUGGUGUAGCGGUAGAAUGCGUAGAAAUCAGGAUGAAUACCGGUAGCGAAGGCGACUUACUGGACUUAAACUGACGCACAGUCACAAAAGCGUGGGGAGCAAACAGG
This 404-nucleotide ribosomal RNA is filed under the name Fusobacteriota bacterium. RNAcentral describes it as "Fusobacteria bacterium partial 16S ribosomal RNA". It matches the Rfam family "Bacterial small subunit ribosomal RNA", at positions 355 to 776 of the family's 1533-position model. The record is from RNAcentral. Lineage: Bacteria; Fusobacteriati; Fusobacteriota.